GAUGAACGCUGGCGGCGUGCCUAAUACAUGCAAGUCGAGCGAACAGACGAGGAGCUUGCUCCUCUGACGUUAGCGGCGGACGGGUGAGUAACACGUGGAUAACCUACCUAUAAGACUGGGAUAACUUCGGGAAACCGGAGCUAAUACCGGAUAACAUGUUGAACCGCAUGGUUCAACAGUGAAAGACGGUCUUGCUGUCACUUAUAGAUGGAUCCGCGCCGCAUUAGCUAGUUGGUAAGGUAACGGCUUACCAAGGCAACGAUGCGUAGCCGACCUGAGAGGGUGAUCGGCCACACUGGAACUGAGAAACGGUCCAGACUCCUACGGGAGGCAGAAGUAGGGAAUCUUCCGCAAUGGGCGAAAGCCUGACGGAGCAACGCCGCGUGAGUGAAGAAGGUCUUCGGAUCGUAAAACUCUGUUAUUAGGGAAGAACAAAUGUGUAAGUAACUAUGCACGUCUUGACGGUACCUAAUCAGAAAGCCACGGCUAACUACGUG
This 497-nucleotide ribosomal RNA is filed under the name uncultured bacterium. RNAcentral's name for it is "partial 16S ribosomal RNA". It matches the Rfam family "Bacterial small subunit ribosomal RNA", at positions 28 to 507 of the family's 1533-position model. The record is from RNAcentral.